GACGAACGCUGGCGGCGUGCCUAAUACAUGCAAGUAGAACGCACAGUUUAUACCGUAGCUUGCUACACCAUAGACUGUGAGUUGCGAACGGGUGAGUAACGCGUAGGUAACCUGCCUGGUAGCGGGGGAUAACUAUUGGAAACGAUAGCUAAUACCGCAUAAUAUUAAUUAUUGCAUGAUAAUUAAUUGAAAGGUGCAAUUGCACCACUACCAGAUGGACCUGCGUUGUAUUAGCUAGUAGGUGAGGUAACGGCUCACCUAGGCGACGAUACAUAGCCGACCUGAGAGGGUGAUCGGCCACACUGGGACUGAGACACGGCCCAGACUCCUACGGGAGGCAGCAGUAGGGAAUCUUCGGCAAUGGACGAAAGUCUGACCGAGCAACGCCGCGUGAGUGAAGAAGGUUUUCGGAUCGGAAAGCUCUGUUGUAAGAGAAGAACGGGUGUGAGAGUGGAAAGUUCACACUGUGACGGUAUCUUACCAGAAAGGGACGGCUAACUACGUG
This 505-nucleotide ribosomal RNA is filed under the name uncultured bacterium. RNAcentral's name for it is "partial 16S ribosomal RNA". It matches the Rfam family "Bacterial small subunit ribosomal RNA", at positions 28 to 507 of the family's 1533-position model. The record is from RNAcentral.